GUGUCACCCUGAGAAGUUUAGCACUUUAAUUAAUUAACUCAGCAAGGGGCCAGGGUCCUCACUUUGUAAACAUCCUCAGCCUGUGCAAGAGGAGGGCGUGGAAAUGACCUGAGUGCUACACCCCCAGGGUGCGGCCGGCUGCCCUGCAUGCCCUGACCUGGUUGCUUCAUUCAAUACCGAUGUCCUGUUUGAAGUUAUUCUUCUUCUUUCUGUGCAAGAACCGCUUUUCCAUCAUCGAGCAUACUCCUUGAGGCAGUACCUAGACUUGGCCCUGGGAGUAUGACUGUUAACUAUGCUUACAGGGAGGCAGGUCCCAUGUGUGACCUUGGUAACACCCUACUGCCUUUUUCCUCACACAGCGCUGAGCACAAGGAAGCAGCACACAUCUCCUUGGAGGCAGUGACAACUUGACUCAGAUUCCUAAGGGAGAAGCUUAGCAACAACAGUGAGGUCUUCAGCAUCUCAUGUCUUCCUAGUGGGCAGCUCCAAGCGGCACCUAUUUUUUAGGAACUGUGGGUGAUCAUCUCUGAGCAGCAAGAGGCUAUGGAGAAGAUCUCGUCUGCAGAGGAGGAGAAAAAGGCAGAGAAUCCUCGCUUCAAAUUGAGAUUAAAGAGAUGUAUAAAAUGUGGGAAACUGCAAAAUUUUCUACAAAAUUUUGCUCUACUUAAAUAAGUGUGGAGCAUUGAGAAAAAUCUGUUUAACAAUGCAAUGUCACAUUUCCAUGAAAUCCUCAAAAGGAGGCAAAAGUGUUAUUGGAUAGGUUCCUUGUUAAAGUUACAUGAAAAAAGAUUUCA
This is a long non-coding RNA of Cavia porcellus (domestic guinea pig), 794 nucleotides long. RefSeq lists it as uncharacterized. NCBI's taxonomy places the organism in Eukaryota, Metazoa, Chordata, Mammalia, Rodentia, Caviidae. The transcript has 3 exons. The record is from RefSeq and is a predicted model, not a curated record.